UACGUAGGGCGCAAGCGUUGUCCGGAAUUAUUGGGCGUAAAGAGCUCGUAGGCGGUUUGUCGCGUCUGCUGUGAAAACCCGGGGCUCAACCCCGGGCCUGCAGUCGAUACGGGCGAGCUAGAGUUCGGCAGGGGAGACUGGAAUUCCUGGUGUAGCGGUGAAAUGCGCAGAUAUCAGGAGGAACACCGGUGGCGAAGGCGGGUCUCUGGGCCGAUACUGACGCUGAGGAGCGAAAGCGUGGGGAGCGAACAGG
Molecule: ribosomal RNA, 253 nt
Filed under: uncultured bacterium
Lineage: Bacteria
Description: partial 16S ribosomal RNA
Rfam family: Bacterial small subunit ribosomal RNA
Source: RNAcentral